AUGUUCAUCGUAGAAGACAAGGGCAGUGCCAUUGCUCUCAUGUGUGCCGCCCUCCUCUUCUUGGGCACAUGGCCGGCAUUGCUCACCCUCUUGGAGCGCAGGGGCCGGCUGCCACAGCACACGUACCUUGAUUACUCAAUCACGAACCUCCUUGCCGCGGUCCUCAUCGCGCUCACCUUGGGCCAGCUUGGGGACAGCAAGCAAAACAUGCCCAAUUUCUUCAUCCAGCUCAGUCAGGAUAACUGGCCUUCGGUGCUGUUUGCAAUGGCUGGGGGUCUCGUGCUCAGUAUUGGGAACCUUUCUACACAGUAUGCUUGGGCAUAUGUGGGUCUCUCAGUUACCGAGGUUAUCUGCGCAAGCAUGGUUGUUGUUAUAGGCACAACACUGAAUUAUUUCCUGGACAACCGCAUCAACAGGGCUGAUAUUCUUUUCACUGGAGUGGCUUGCUUCCUUGUUGCAGUCAUCCUUGGGACUGCUGUACACUCUUCCAAUGCAGCUGAUAAUGAAGAAAAACUAAGUGAAUCCACAAAUGGCUACAACCUUGGGUCAAAUGGAGGUACGGAGCCAAGCAAACAAGAUGCACUAGAGGUGGACAUAGAGAAUGGAGCUUAUGCAGAAGAGGCCACCAGAGCUGAAGCAGGAACUGCAGAAUACCUAAUUGAGCUCGAAGGGCGGCGUUCGGUUAAGGUGUUUGGAUCGAGCACCCUCAAGGGGCUUGGGCUGGUUUUCUUUGCCGGGGUCUGCCUCUCGCUCUUCUCCCCAGCACUCAACCUCGCCACCAAUGACCAGUGGCACACCCUGAAAGGCGGCGUCCCGCAUCUGGUUGUGUACACUGCCUUCUUCUACUUCUCCAUGUCGUGCUUCGUCAUCGGUGUCGGGCUCAACAUCUUGUUCCUCUACCGCCCGAUGGCCGGCGUGCCGAAGUCGUCCUUCAAGGCCUAUCUGGGUGACUGGGAAGGCAGGCAGUGGGCUCUCCUCGCCGGCUUGCUUUGUGGCUUCGGCAAUGGCUUCCAGUUCAUGGGUGGUCAGGCUGCUGGUUAUGCUGCUGCUGAUGCUGUUGAGGCAUUGCCACUUGUGAGCACAUUCUGGGGCAUCGUGCUAUUCGGGGAGUACCGCAAGUCGUCCAAGAAAACCUACACUCUGCUCGUGUUGAUGCUGCUCAUGUUUGUCGCGGCUGUAGCAACGCUCAUGGCUUCAGCAGGUCACAGGAGCACAAAGUGA
This 1221-nucleotide ribosomal RNA is filed under the name Triticum aestivum (bread wheat). RNAcentral describes it as "partial small subunit ribosomal RNA". Lineage: Eukaryota; Viridiplantae; Streptophyta; Magnoliopsida; Poales; Poaceae. The record is from RNAcentral.